GGCGAGUGGCGAACGGGUGAGUAAAAUAUCGGAACGUACCCAGGAGUGGGGGAUAACGUAGCGAAAGUUACGCUAAUACCGCAUACGUCCUAAGGGAGAAAGUGGGGGAUCGCAAGACCUCAUGCUCAUGGAGCGGCCGAUAUCUGAUUAGCUAGUUGGUGGGGUAAAGGCCUACCAAGGCAUCGAUCAGUAGCUGGUCUGAGAGGACGACCAGCCACACUGGAACUGAGACACGGUCCAGACUCCUACGGGAGG
This 255-nucleotide ribosomal RNA is filed under the name Duganella lactea. RNAcentral's name for it is "partial 16S ribosomal RNA". It matches the Rfam family "Bacterial small subunit ribosomal RNA", at positions 90 to 348 of the family's 1533-position model. The record is from RNAcentral. Lineage: Bacteria; Pseudomonadati; Pseudomonadota; Betaproteobacteria; Burkholderiales; Oxalobacteraceae.